This 484-nucleotide ribosomal RNA is filed under the name uncultured bacterium. RNAcentral describes it as "partial 16S ribosomal RNA". It matches the Rfam family "Bacterial small subunit ribosomal RNA", at positions 30 to 507 of the family's 1533-position model. The record is from RNAcentral.
AUUGAACGCUGGCGGCAGGCCUAACACAUGCAAGUCGAGCGGAUGAAGGGAGCUUGCUCCUGGAUUCAGCGGCGGACGGGUGAGUAAUGCCUAGGAAUCUGCCUGGUAGUGGGGGAUAACGUCCGGAAACGGGCGCUAAUACCGCAUACGUCCUGAGGGAGAAAGUGGGGGAUCUUCGGACCUCACGCUAUCAGAUGAGCCUAGGUCGGAUUAGCUAGUUGGUGGGGUAAAGGCCUACCAAGGCGACGAUCCGUAACUGGUCUGAGAGGAUGAUCAGUCACACUGGAACUGAGACACGGUCCAGACUCCUACGGGAGGCAGCAGUGGGGAAUAUUGGAGAAUGGGCGAAAGCCUGAUCCAGCCAUGCAGCGUGUGUGAAGAAGGUCUUCGGAUUGUAAAGCACUUUAAGUUGGGAGGAAGGGCAGUAAGUUAAUACCUUGCUGUUUUGACGUUACCAACAGAAUAAGCACCGGCUAACUUCGUG